Long non-coding RNA from Alligator sinensis (Chinese alligator), 12819 nucleotides. RefSeq lists it as uncharacterized. The record is from RefSeq and is a predicted model, not a curated record. Lineage: Eukaryota; Metazoa; Chordata; Crocodylia; Alligatoridae. The transcript is spliced from 10 exons.
CCCCCCCCACCCCUUUCCCAGUGCAGCCCCCCUUUUUUGUGUGUGCGUGCGUGCAUGUGUGCGUGCUCUUUGUUGCAUCCUGACCUCUACCUCAGGCUGACCCUUUGGGGAGGGGUUAUAGGGGGAGAGAAGAGAGGAAGGGCGGGAGAUGGGAGACUUCUGCAGACACAGCUCUUAUGCAUCAAGGUGUGCGGCAAUCUGAGCACAGAAGGUUGCCUCUCCUUAACUCCUGCUUCACCCUCCUAUUCUGCCUGUGCUCUUCAGUGCUCUCUCUCUCUCUCUCUCAGCCUCAGCUAGAUUGGCUCUAAGGAGAAGGCUGACGGCUGCAGCAUGAAGCGCAUUAUUACCUUGUGAUUCCAUGACCCUCCUCUAUGCAUCCCUAACUCUUGAAAGCUGAUUCAGCUUUCAGCUAGUGCUCUGGUGACUCCACUGCUGCAAGAGAAUCUUCUAACUGGUAUGUCUUUUUUCCACCCCCCAAACCCUCCCCUCUCUACGAUCUGCCUUUCCUUUAACUGCACCAGCUCGGCUUGUUUUUAAACACUUUGCUGGCUAACGUAGGACUCGGUGCCCAUCCAACUUGCCCGUGGACUGACAGGGGUGGCUCUGCGUUUGGUGAAUGCGUGCGUGUGUGUGUGCGUGUGCACAGGGCGGGUGUGAUAAUAUGUGGGUGGGUUACGAGACCCUUUUUGUGGUGGUGUUGUUGUUGUUCUGCUGUGGCACACUCCGCAUUUUUAAAGGGAAAAAAAAAACUGCAGAGCAAGCAGUGGACUAGAAUAAGCUGAACUGAAAUGUUAGAACUUUGACAUGCAAUCACGUUGCAAGGUUAAACCCUUCCUCUCAAUGCCUAAUUCUGAGCUGGGCUAAAUGACACCUAAGGGGAUUUUUUUAUUUAUUUUUUUUAAAUAACCGGUGGCUCUGAGCUGAAAUAAUACCACCCAGAGCAAAGGCUGAAAUGGGGUUUUAACUUAGCCUAACUUGCAAUGAUCUCAACGCUGCGGUGAUUAACCAUUGAAAAGCCUAGAAGAGAGCAUUAAUUACAGGCACGAUGUUUAUGGACAAUGCAAAAGGAAUAGCCAUAGGAUGAGAAGUUAGGUUUUCACUGCAAGGAUUUGGAAAGGAAGGUUACACUUCACACAUCCUUUGAUUAUGAUUGCUUCUGAAGCCAGUAGUUAGCUCUGGUCAUUGCAUUUUGCAUUGGAGUGGUGUAUCAGAGACAUUCACACACCGGUAGUACAUGUAUAUAGAUUGUGAGAGAUCUUGUGAAAUCUAUAUUCACACACACAGAACAUAGGUGUGCUUUAUAGAAUAUAGCUCGACGGUUUACAUCUCUUUAUACAGAUACAUACCCAUUAUAUGCCAACAGAUAUAUAUUAUCUGAAUACAGUACAUAGCAUAUAGUGUGUGCAUAGUGUAUGAAUAGAUGUAUGUGCCUGUUAGAGUGUAUGCUCAGCAAUCGUGUAAUUGUACAGUCAGAAAUCUAUUAUUUGUGCUGUCAUUUUAAUUGCUGGGUGUCUCCUGAAUGGGUGAUUUUGUCUAUUCCUCAAAUUUUCAUUUUCUUACCCAACCUGACUUGAUACAAACCGCCGUAUGCAGGGAAGGGCGCUGGCAGGUUGGCCAGAACUAGCGCAAGCUUUUACCUCCUGCUCAUCCUCCCCUGCACCUCUUGCACCCUGACAUAAGCCCUGGCUUUCUCCAGCACCUACUACUCUUUGCAAGUCCAAAAAGUUUUGAGCUGUCCAGCUGCAGAGAGCCUUCGUUGAAGUGACUAGGCGAGCGCGUGGAGCCUUGGGGGCAGGAUGAAGCCCCCAAUGAGUAGGAACAUGUGCCAAUUGCCCCCCUCCUCAAGACCCCCCCCAUGUGCACCUUCACUCCCAUUACCUCCAGUCCCCUUCCCCUCUUUCAUUUGCUCCUUAGCUUCUGCACUUCUAGUUUAUCGAAUGGCACUAAGGAUUUAGGAUUUUCUUGUCCUUAGUUUCCUGUGCUUCCCUGGCCCCAGGUUUCUCAGGCAAGAUUUUCCACUGUGAACGUGCCACCAGGCAGCUUAGCCAGCCUAGGUGAGUGAGGGAAAGUUGCAGAACUGUCGCUCCGAGCCAGAGCUUCUGCUUGUAUCAUCCAGGAUGCGGAAAGGCUCAAUAGCCCUGACCAACUGCCCAAAAGAGCAGUAGGUCCGCAUGCCUUCUGCCCCGCCAACCGUCACAGAGGGGUGUUUUUUUGGAAAACGUGGAUUUUUGUUCAAACACCCAAGGUGAAUUAACAAAAAAAGAAAUACACUCCCCAGAUGCACCUGGUAUCAGGCAGUGCCCGCACACCGAGCCUGGAUAAACUUUGCUGUGACUUUUAUAGAUGCUCAAAGAGUGGGGUUCUUUUCCGAAGCCUUUUUAAUAAAGGCUUAAAACUUCAGUGUCAAAAUCCAGUAUACGAAUAUUUCCAUUAUUAUCCUUCCGUCCCCAUCUCAUUCAUCUGCAAAAGUUUGGGACUCCACAGACAUUCAGCCCAAUGCUGUGGCUGGGCAGAGAUCCCCCACAUUGGCUAAUUUCCCUUGACUUAAAGCAAUCAGGCUUUCAUUCAUACGCCUGGCAUGUGCCUAUUUAAAUCCUCACUUCUCUGUCUUGCCUUAAUUUCACUGCAGUCGUGCAUUCGGGUGGUGUCACAGCUCCACCUCUCUUCCUUUUAGUCCCCAACGCUUGGGAAUUGCCUUUCAGUUGGACAAGGGUAGGGAUAACAUCAAGCAAACCAAAAGGUAUUAAGGAAGGUGUCUAACAAAACCAGGGCCGAGGCGUCUGAGCAGUGAGACAUGGUUGGUGUGAAGUCGCUUUCCAGGCUGGACCUUACCAAACCUUCAGAAAGGUGUCUCUCAACCUCCCCGGCUCUUGCGGAGUUCUUCUACUGGAUGACAUUUUAAAAUUAAAAAAAAAAAAGCCAUCCAAAAAGGCAUCUCCUUUCUUUUGGGGGCUCUCUCAUUUGCAAGGUAGUAUUGCACUUACAAUGACCUGCACAGGAAAAUCUUUGGAUUCACUAGAUCAGCAACUCUCAGAUUUGCAAAGGGUGCAGUCGCUUGUGCUUGCAAAUAGGCAUGUGAAAUUGGACUGCUGCGAGGCUGGAAAAGCCCAAGCUCUCUGGAGGAUCUGAUUUGUUUUCUUUAGACACUAGACACUGCCCCACUUCUAUUUCCAGAGGGGUCAGGUGGAAGAGUCCAGCUGGCGCUGUGCGGCCUGGCUGUCAGUCCUGACACCUGCUCAGAUAACACCUCUCUCAGAUAACGCUGCCAGAGGAUCAUCCCGUCGGGCUGGAGCUCUGCCAGCUCUAAGAAAGUUCCUUCCAAGGUGCAUGAAUCCAGAGCAUGGGCCCAUUUCCAGCUGCGGACGCUUUCCGGAGUCCAUUUGGAUUGCAACUUGGCACUGACCUGUGACUUCUCCUUCCUUCCAGGCAAAUGCACACACACUGCAUAGACCACGCUGUCAUGCUGGGAUUGGGAUCACUUAGCAUAUACCAAACCAAAAAACAAGGGGUUGUGUGACGGGGCGUCACAGCCCGUCGGAGCAGCGCAACACGCGUCUUCCAGGCUCAAGGUAAGAGGUGUGCAAAUAUAGUAGUUUCUCUACAUUGCUGGAAGAAGCCCCACAUAAAGGAGAAAACACCGUGAAGGCAAGUUCUCCAUUUCGGAUACUUCAGUGUAAGUUUAUUUGAGGUUCCCCCAGUCCGUGCAUUUUGGCUUCCCAUGACCUGUUUCAGCGGGGUGGAUGGGUUUUAACUCAUUCUUCAUGUUCUACAAUCAAGCGCCUCAUUGGCAUUGCCAUGACUGCUGCAUCAGUUCUCUGUAUUGCAUGCACUCUGUGAACAGAAACCCGUUCAGCCAGUAGAUUUUAGAAGUGGCACUGGCCAAAAAGAAAAAGUCGAUGCCUGGUAGGGGCACGUGGCUGAGAUAACUGAAGGGGACAUUAACAUCUGUGAUUUUUAUGAUUCAGUGAACAAUGAACAUUAGCAUAAUCCUGACUUAAACCUUCCCCCCCCCCAGAUCAUCAUUUACUAUUAAUUAAUUAUCAACAUUAUCCUAUGAUUAAUUAUGAAUGUUUACACCAUCGAUCAGCCCCUGGCUAGGCUGAUAACUCGAAAUCUUGCACAAAGAUUAUUUUAACAAUAGCUACAGUACGUCGUGUAAUGCAUUUCACAGUAGCGUUGUCAGCCUCAUCUAUAAGGCUUUUUACUAAUGCACUUUACAACAUAUCUCAUAAUACACGGAUGAGGAAUGUGGCUACAUCCAGUAAUAAUUUCAUUAAUUAUGAAUAAAGCAUUUACAAAUGACAUCCUUAUUUAAAAAUGGUGAUGAACUCAUUUUGUUUUAAUGCAGCUGCAAUAUGUAAUUUGCCAUCUCUUACAAAGCCAUGCUGGAAGAGUGGGUCAGAGAGAAAGGCCUAGGAUCUUAAGAGAUUUAUGCUCUUAAGGAGUUAAAAAUCUUCACUGGAGACUGAGGAAGACAAACAGCAAAAUGGCAGCAAAAAGCAAUAGCUCAGUCUUCAAGUGGGUGACUGGAGCAACCAUAUAAAGGUACCAGGGGAUGCUGACAACCCCAAUUAGGUCCCAAUCAGUGACCUUGGGUUACAGCUGUGACCCAUAACAUAUUACUCUAAAUUGACAGUACAUCCAUAUUUUAAUUGGCAUUCUUUUUAUUUCUUUUUAUACAUUCAGAUGGCUUACCAAUUCUUGUUAGUCGUGCAAGGUUUGUCAUUGCAACAUUUUGGUACUGGGCAUCACAUACGCUUCCACCAAAUGCCAAGAUAUCUGUUUCUGCAAAGUUUAUCAUCAAGGCUGCUUAAGUCCAUUAUAACUAUGUGCUAAUUUAUAGCCCUUUUAAGGGAUAUGGAAUGAAUAAUUUAAUAGUGAAGAAAAGAGUUCACGGCUCCAUCUCCUCACCAAAUGGGUGUAUUAUCCAUUUAUUAUUUUGAGUUUAGUUGCUUGUAAUUAUUCACUGACUUAUUUCUACACACAUUUGACUUGCUGAUCAUCCGUUCACAAGAAGCUGUUUUGCGUAGAACUGGUCAAGCCGUUCAGUAUUCAUACUCGUGCCACAGCCGGAGCUAUGCAUGAGAUCAGACUAGAUAAUCUGUUGGUUCCUUCUGGUCUUGAAAACUAUGCAAAUCUAUGAAUAAUUAUUCUGGGUGAGAUUUUCAAAUGUAAGCAGUGAUUUUUACAUAUUAUAAUUGUACAUAAUAAUCUUUACAUAUUAUAAUAGCUGAGGCCUGGUUUUCAGGUAUCCUUAAAGUAUGCCAAGUGCCCCCACACCAAAAAAUAUAGAUAAUAAAAACUUACAGAUCACUUGAAAACUUUGGCCAUUUGAUUUUGAUGUUGGCAAACACUGGUUCUGAUUUUCUUCCAAUGCUUUUAGUCUUAAGCAUGUGUAAGGGUUUGGAUUACAACUCUUUCCAGAUUGCAUUUGUUCACAAACUUUUGCACAACUUCUUGUUACUUGCUAGGUUGAAUAGCAAUGGAGAUUUGGUGCAGGUGGAAGCCAUGGACCAAACAAGAUUAGAAACUUUAGACCAGAUUUUUGGAUCAGCAACAGGGCAGUGAUCAGAGAACAACCACAAAGAAAUCCCAGAAAGAUCACAGAGUGACAUGUAGAGAACAAUAUGCUCCCUUUUGAGUGAAAAUCAGUCAGCCUUUAUUGGAGCAGGAGAAUACAGUUGCCAUCCCGUCAAGGGAAAAAACUGUUUGGAGCAGUCAGUCAAAGCUAGACUUGCUCGCUGUGGAUCCUGUCGGGAAAAUGCACUGCGCUAGAUAUGAAAAUCAGCAGCCAGCUCUCCUGAACUCCGCGUGGUUGACAAAGGCUAACACAGCUUUAGCAUUUGCCAGGGAUUCAGAAAUGUGCAUUUUUUUCCCUGCGCUGUCCCUGUAUUUGAAACAUGUGCCGAGUCACUGAUUUUUCUCUCUUUCUGGAUCCAGUUUUCCAGGUUGGAUCCUGGUCCAGAUUUGCCUGAAGUUCAGGGCAAUUGGGACUCGGAGAGUCUGCCCCACCUGUGUCUUAAUGCACGCAGGUGCAUAAACACUGGAGGUUACAUGAUCCUUUUCCAUGUCACUCGUGUGACAUGAAACCGGCCCCAGAGGCUUGUGCCUGAGCCACUACGCUGCCCAGCAGUGGCCGCGCAGCUACAACAGACGCUUGCCACAGGCUUUUGCUGUGCGAGGCCCAGAUUCCAUGUGGCAUCUUUUAAACCGAAGCCGAACAUGACAGCUGGCUCUUUCACGCCCUGACCUGAGCCCUUUCUAAAGGGCCCAUCACCACAGCAUAGCUUCCUCACUCUGGUACAGCCUACAUGACUAAACAUUACUCGUGUCAGCUCGAGUCCUUCAGGUGAAGCCGUUAGAUUACAAAUGCUUCAAGGCAUGGCGAGCCAUUUUCUCCAGGCAAAGAACUCUGCAAUUUUAUGGUGCGCUAGCAGUGUCUUUUAGCAUUGACAGUAGCAAAGAGCACAGACGUUACAGCUGUGGUCUUGGGCAGGAUGCUUCCUGCAAGCGUGCUUCCUUUUGCGGAUAACCACUCUGAGCUGCAGCGAAUGAAAAGGAGAUGAAAGUAAAGCUGGCCUGGAGACACAACUGUUCAUCAAAAUGGGAACUUCUUUCUGCAGUGGUGUCUGGUCAGGCUGUAGGUUUCUCAGGCUGAGGCUGGAGUUUCUGGGCAGAGAUGGACAGAUUAUUCUGGUUUGCAGCAGAUGGAGCAGGGGCUUGAAGAUCAUCUUCCACAGCCCAGAUGGAGCAGAGAAACCAGUAUAAUGAAACCUCGCUUUACUCCUUACAAGUCCGUGACGAUGAGCUUUGACAAAAGCAACCAAGAUGAUCUGAUUGGCUGAAACCUGGCAAUUCACACAUUUCUCCGAGAAACGCAGAGCUCCAUUCAUCCCAGCCCUAUCAUGCAGGUGUUAGUGUGCAGGCAAUCCAGAGGUUAAGAGCUCUAGAAGCUGCCCCAAAUUACCACGUAACUAAGCUCUGAGAGACGGAGGAUGCUCCACCCCGGACGGGUAAGGACUUGAAGCCUAGAACCAGACAAACAAAGACAAACCAGAAAUGCAGCGUGGUAGCAUCUGCCCGGCACCCAUGGCUGAGACGAUGACCUGAAGGGAAUUCUGCAACGACGUGACGCUUCCUGGGAAUAUUUCCCAUGCAAUCCCAGGAAGCUUUUGGCUGCAAAAUAAUACUUUGUUUUUACACGUGAGGACACUUUUAGCCCCCAUCCCUGCAAGAAAAUGAUGUAGGUGGGUCUUUGGACUUACUGGAGACCAGCUUCAGGAUUGAAGCUUUAUCUAACGUGGCCCAGUACUUACCUGUGCAGAUUCUCCUUUGACACUUGUAUCUGCAUUUCUCAAAGGUUCAGAGUCCUCUUUCUGUGGCAUUCAGUGAUAAACAUGUUGUUCUGAUUUUUUUUUAUUUUUUUUUUUAUGAUGAUUACACAGAAAUUGUAGGAAAAAACCUAGUUAAAAACAAAUUGAUUUUUCUGGGGGAUAUUAUCUGUCUGUGUUAUCUGUGAACUAAUUAUAGGACUAGAAAAUCAAUAACAAUUUGCAGCUCUUAUCAAUGCCACUGUCUAAAUUUGCUACAUAUUAUACUGAAAUAUUUCCUCCUGCGCAUUUGAAAGUCUUGAUCAUCACCUGCUUACCAUGAGGCAGACAAGCUAAUGGCUGAUGAGCAUUUAUAUUUCAUUAUGUUACAAUAACAAGGCUUACCAAAAUCAUUUGUGGCAGACAAAUAACAGCGCAAGUGCAAUUUAGCUGCAGGCUGGGGAGCCAACAUUUUUCAACCCGCUGCAGGAAGAUUAGAAAACUUGGAUGAGAUCUGUGAUUUUUUUUUUAAUUUUUUUUUAAUUAUUAUUAUUUUUUUUUUUAAAGAUUAUGAAACACAGUCAUUAAAAGUUCACGCUUGCCUGCCAAAUGGUCUUUUUCAGACUUCAUUCCAAAAAAAGUAAAUGCUUUGGACAGUGAAUAUACUGCCUUUUCUCUCCAGCAAAGGAGAGAGAUGUGCAAUUCAGGCUAAAUAAUCAAUGGAUACGUCGCAGGCAUAAUCUCCCUUUUAAAAACAAAGGCGGAGAGGACGGGCGUGUACGCCUUUGCUGUAUCAACAAGUGGUGUUGACUGUGGCAACUCAUUUAGCACCAAGCCUCAAAACCUUUUGGGUAGGCAUCAUCUAAUGUCCACAAAAAAAGCAGUGUCAUGGGAGUGUGUCUGAGAUGUGGACAAGACUGAUCCUGCCUGGAGCGGAGAAUCUCCCUUUGAAGAUGCAAUACACCCCACUGAUUGUUUCCCUUGCACUUUGUGUGUAACACUAGUGCCACGUGAAUCGGUGGUGCUGAAUCAGCAUAGGCACCUGCUUUGCAUUGGGGUAAAUUACUACCGAGAUGCAGGGAAGCGAGGGACUGGACUCAUUGGCACAGGGCUGCACGAUCAGAGCCUCUCUUGAUCAAGCCUUAAAGGGAGAAAAUGCAAGACAUGUCAAGGACUCACAAAGCAAAGGGGUUGGGAAGAUUUCACCAGCCCACCUGACCUGAACAUCUACACAUGGGUAAUAGCAGGGGGUUGCAUUGUAGUUUGAGUGCCUUUUGUAUCAGAGGCUCUUAAAGAGCUUUUUCAGAGGGGUAAACUGAGGCACUGAUGGAUCAACUCUCUUGCCAAAGCUCACACCGCGAGGAAGUAGCGAAGCCUGAUACUAAACCCAGGCGGCCCAGCUCCAAGCAACUUCUCCUAGGCACUGGGAUAGACUGACAAAUUGUGCCCCGUCACCUGGGCAUGGAAUAAUCAGUCAUCAUCUAUCAUAUUUUGUACUUUUUCAAGUCAACCAAAGUGAUGAAAGCUGGCUCUCUGGAGGGUUUAGAUCAUUCCUCCUUUUGGAGGUUUGAGGUCUGUGUUCCCGUCUCAUGGGUUAGACACACACAGAUGGAUCCCAGCUUUUGGAGCUGUGUAUGUUUUACCACAUGCCGGGGCUCAGCUGAUGCCUUUUAAUUCCUCUUCUUCCUCUUCACUGUUUGCCUUCCCCGAGCAACCACAAACCCAAAUCAAGGAUCAAGGCCCUGUGACGCUCAGGGGCUGGUAGGACAAGACAAGCAAGUGGGUAAGGAAGGGAAGGGAAGUGUGGUAGCAAAUGGGGAGAAGUCAGUAGGAAAGUAGAAGUCACUGCUUCUCCUUUGCUCUUGGAGGGGGUUUAUGGGAAGAUAACAUUUUGUAGGAAGGUGAUUGUUUGGCCAUGUUGCAUUAGACUCCGGGUCCGAUUCACAGAGGUGGCUUUGUAGCAUGCUUGGCCACAAGACUAGUAAGAGGGAAGGAGCAGAACCAGUGGGCUGGCAUUCACCCUCCUGCUUUUUUUUGUGUCCAAAGCACACUUUCCCUCGGUGGUGUUCAGCCAGCUGUGCCUGCCUCCAGGCUAAAGCAAGAAUUAGAAGCAUAUGUUGAUUCCCAUCACUGAAGUGCAAAGCAAGCCCUUGUCCAGAGAUCACAGGUGUGCACUGUGGAGCAAAGGAGAGCCUACUACAUCCAAAAGCUGAUCUUUCUUGACCGCUCUUUGCUGAACUGUAUGGGAUCUGAUUGCUCGAGCACUGGAGUUAAACGCCUCAACUCUGGAUCGCUUGGAUGAUGCAUUUCCACAGCGCCUUUCAGUUUAAUGCCAUGCUUGAUUCAAUGAUGCUCUCUGAGUGCAACUUGAAGUGCUAUUUUGGCUCACCCCAAGUCUCUCUCUGAAGCAUCAUUUCAUGAAAACCUUCAGAGAGAAAGCUAGCCCCCCGAGGCAUCAUCCUGAAAAUAACUAAAGGAGCAGAUAAAACUCCCACCAGCUGCUCUUCUCAGUAACGUUAGCCUGUGUAGUUGUCAUGCUAACAGUCAGGUGCAAGGACGAGCGCUCUCCAAACAGCUCCGCAUCAAAGAUCAGAUAGCCAUGCAACACUAUCUCUCCACUCAUCUCUGACCUUACCUUUUCAUUGUCCAUUGGAGUUCAGUCCUGUCGGGUCGGUCUUACUUGUUACUAUCACUACAACCUUUGGGCCAGGCUUUAAUGCCUGGAUACACAUGCUUGCAUGAACUCCACUCACUCCCACCAAAAAUGUAUACAUUUCCACCCCCCAAAAAUGCAUGGGACCAAGUAUUUGUAGUCUGGAUAAGGACUGUGGCUUUGAGUACCAGUAGUACAGAGGGCUGUUGUACAUUUGUCAGGUAUGGCCCAGGCCUCCAGACACUUACUUUUGUGAAUGCAGAUACGCGCACACACAUUUGACUGAGUAACUAACAAUAACUUUCCAAGGCUCACGCAAUCCCGAUAUAUAUCUGUUUCCUAGUAACUGGGCCAUUUACUUCCCCACGUUGCUGUUCUAAAUAGAUGGAUGACAUAUCACUUACUGUAAAAUAUGCAAUCACUUCUCUGACAGGACACGUGGCAUUUAUUUUUUCCCAAAAUAGAGGGCUGUGGGGUUUUUUUAAGUUACUAUUUACAGCUCAAGUUCAAACCUGAAAGGUAUUAUACCUCCUUCUCCAAAAAAAGAAGAAGAAAAAAGUGUAAUUUUGAAUCAGGAAGGAUGUGAUUUAAGUAGCUGAAUAUUUGAGAGACAAUGUCCAGCCAGCUGACCUCCCCUUUGCAGCACAAAAUUUGCACCCAAAGGCUUUAAUUAUUCAUUUAUAUUGAUAAUACAGCAAAAUGUACCAAUAUGAACACAGUGGAAGCUCCUGACAAGUGCUUAAGGGUCCAUUAAAAAAGAAACGUAAUAACAUAUCACAAUAAUAAAGAAUCAGGUGGCCCAAAAAUGAAGAAAAAAGCCCCUUGUUGGUCCAUCAAACCCAAAGAUACCAGAUGUUUUUUGUUGUUUUUAUUACUGUAGUGUCCAAAAGGCACCUGGAGCUCCACUGUGCUCUUAUACCCUUGUUUUUCACAGGUUUUUUUCACACUUUUUUUUUUUUACCCCCAAACCUUUGAACUAUGUUUUAAAGGGCAGUUGCUGCUGUUGGCUACACGCUCAGCUGAACCUUUCCAUUUGGUUACACUUGACAAAUGAUGGAUAGGAAGGAGAUUAGUCCCGAGAAGAGUUGAUAGCAAGAGCGAGGAAGAUUUAGGCCAGGGGCUCUUGAAGAAAAUAAAUAUAAUUCAUCACUAUGCAGUGACAAUCCUGAGAUGAUCAAGAAAGUGGUUUAUGGGUGUACCCUCCCUUCUUAUCAUUAUUUUUGGGCUAAAUGUUUUCCAUGGAUGUGUUGUACCUACAUCACCCACACUGGGAACCAUGUUGUGGGGUAUGGGAUUGGGAGCCUAGGUGUGACUCUAGCUCUUCAUGGGGAAAAUGCAAGAAUUACAGUCCUUCCUUGGUAGUGUAACAGUGGUCUUAUAGCCAUGGGGGUCCAGAAAUGUCUUGCACGCUUUUUCUCCUUUCUAUAUUCUGCGUUUUCAUUCAUUUGCAUCUCAUGCUUUCCCCUUCUCAGGGUUGGAAAUGUGGAGAGAGGAAAGGAGACAGCCAGAUACAUGAAGCACUGAAGGAUGAGAUGACCAGUAGUUUACAAUUUGCAGACCCCGCGAGGUCUGUUUUAGUUACUCUGACCCCUCCAGGCUGACUCUUUCCUCAGUCACUGUGGACAACUAUGCUAUCACUCAUGCCCGCAACUUUGGGGUCAUCUUGGAUCCCACACUCCCUCUCAGCCCUCCCGGAGAGGCUAUUGCUUUUAACUCUUGCUGAUGCUUUCUGGAUACUAUCUUGUAUGUCUGCGGUAGGUAGGCCUUUCCUACCUACCAUGCAUCAAUGAGUCUCAAGCUGGGUCUUGUCCUCUCGUGAUUAAAUGGCAGCGAUAUCCUUUUCUCUGGCUUUGACAAAUGUAACAUUUUGUCCUUCCCAUUGAUUCAGAAGAACUCGGCUGGAAAAACCACCUUCCUCGCUCCUGUUCUGACCGUUUGUUGCCUCCCUUCAUUGGCUUCCCCUUCACUCUCAAAGCAAAAUUAGGUGCUGGUUUUUAUUUCCAAGGCUCUUCUACACCCAUUUCUUUCCUCUACAGAUAAGGAUCAUAAGCAGAAUACGUGGCAAAGGGAACUCAGUCUUUUUACAAGCUAUUUAAAUCCUUCAGGGUAAUAAUAAACCUCCUGGAGGAAGAACCCAUCUGGGGAAAAAUAAAUUCAAACGAUGCUGGCCACUUCUAUAAAAAAACCAACAACAAAUCAAGUGCUAAAAGAAACACAAUUAUUGAGCCAUCUUAUUUUCAGCACCAUAAAUAUGAGUGAAUCUUUAAAAUCCAAUUUAUUUUUCUGCUUUUUUUUCCCACGUUUCUCUCCCUUUCCACCAUGAAAAUCGAAAAUGCCAUUAUCACCUUUGUUUACAGCAAGUUUUGCUAUCGGGGUCCUGUGCUCCGGUAUUGGAUUAUGGUUAGCAGGUACCAGCUCUUUAUAGGUGCAGUCCAGAAAGGUGUUGGGUACCUACUGGGAGAUAACAAUUUUGAUGGGGUUUGAAGGGGAUCAAGCUUUGCAUUUGAGCAUCUAGCUUGAUAUAUUUGGGGUCUUUCAAAGGAGACUCUGUUGCAGUCAACAAAAUCCUCGUGUAAACCUAAGAGUAGGAGCAGUAGGAGGGAGGUCUACUGAUGUGUGGUGCAUCGUGUAGACCAUACAGUACUAAUAAGGAGAAAGGGUCUGUCUCCAUACAAAGCCAAGGAAGGCAGCUAGGAAUAUUAAAACUGUACAUCUAGUCUUGCUUUUGUCCAACAUGAUGGUUUAAAUAUGUCCUCUCUUAGGCCUUAACCUACAUUAGAUGUAUUAGAUGUGUUCUGCUUACUUAUACUAAACCAAUGUGAUUUCCUUUGUGUUCCAAGUGAAUAAAAUUGAACU